CCUACGGGAGGCAGCAGUGGGGAAUAUUGGGCAAUGGGCGCAAGCCUGACCCAGCAACGCCGCGUGAAGGAAGAAGGCCCUCGGGUUGUAAACUUCUUUUAUCAGGGACGAAGCAAGUGACGGUACCUGAUGAAUAAGCCACGGCUAACUACGUGCCAGUAGCCGCGGUAAUACGUAGGUGGCAAGCGUUAUCCGGAUUUACUGGGUGUAAAGGGCGUGUAGGCGGGAAAGCAAGUCAGAUGUGAAAACCAUGGGCUCAACCUGUGGCCUGCAUUUGAAACUGUUUUUCUUGAGUACUGGAGAGGUAGACGGAAUGCGUAGUGUAGCGGUGAAAUGCGUAGAUAUUAGGAGGAACACCAGUGGCGAAGGCGGUCUGCUGGACAGCAACUGACGCUGAGGCACGAAAGCGUGGGGAGCAAACAGGAUUAGAUACCCUAGUAGUC
RNAcentral lists this ribosomal RNA (443 nucleotides) under uncultured bacterium. Its description in RNAcentral is "partial 16S ribosomal RNA". It matches the Rfam family "Bacterial small subunit ribosomal RNA", at positions 338 to 795 of the family's 1533-position model. The record is from RNAcentral.